GACAGAGGGUGCAAACGUUGUUCGGAAUUACUGGGCGUAAAGCGCGUGUAGGCGGCCCUGCAAGUCGGGUGUGAAAUCCCACGGCUCAACCGUGGAAGUGCACUCGAAACUGCAGGGCUAGAGUCCUGGAGAGGAAGGUGGAAUGCUUGGUGUAGAGGUGAAAUUCGUAGAUAUCAAGCGGAACACCGGUGGCGAAGGCGGCCUUCUGGGACAGUGACUGACGCUGAGACGCGAAAGCGGUGGGGAGCAAACAGGG
RNAcentral lists this ribosomal RNA (256 nucleotides) under uncultured bacterium. RNAcentral describes it as "partial 16S ribosomal RNA". It matches the Rfam family "Bacterial small subunit ribosomal RNA", at positions 524 to 777 of the family's 1533-position model. The record is from RNAcentral.